RNAcentral lists this ribosomal RNA (889 nucleotides) under Acinetobacter bereziniae. Its description in RNAcentral is "bacterial SSU rRNA". It matches the Rfam family "Bacterial small subunit ribosomal RNA", at positions 62 to 941 of the family's 1533-position model. Lineage: Bacteria; Pseudomonadati; Pseudomonadota; Gammaproteobacteria; Moraxellales; Moraxellaceae. The record is from RNAcentral.
UCGAGCGGGGGAGAUUGCUUCGGUAAUUGACCUAGCGGCGGACGGGUGAGUAAUACUUAGGAAUCUGCCUAUUAAUGGGGGACAACAUCUCGAAAGGGAUGCUAAUACCGCAUACGCCCUACGGGGGAAAGCAGGGGAUCACUUGUGACCUUGCGUUAAUAGAUGAGCCUAAGUCGGAUUAGCUAGUUGGUGGGGUAAAGGCCUACCAAGGCGACGAUCUGUAGCGGGUCUGAGAGGAUGAUCCGCCACACUGGGACUGAGACACGGCCCAGACUCCUACGGGAGGCAGCAGUGGGGAAUAUUGGACAAUGGGGGGAACCCUGAUCCAGCCAUGCCGCGUGUGUGAAGAAGGCCUUAUGGUUGUAAAGCACUUUAAGCGAGGAGGAGGCUCUUUUGGUUAAUACCCAAGAUGAGUGGACGUUACUCGCAGAAUAAGCACCGGCUAACUCUGUGCCAGCAGCCGCGGUAAUACAGAGGGUGCGAGCGUUAAUCGGAUUUACUGGGCGUAAAGCGUGCGUAGGCGGCUUUUUAAGUCGGAUGUGAAAUCCCCGAGCUUAACUUGGGAAUUGCAUUCGAUACUGGGAAGCUAGAGUAUGGGAGAGGAUGGUAGAAUUCCAGGUGUAGCGGUGAAAUGCGUAGAGAUCUGGAGGAAUACCGAUGGCGAAGGCAGCCAUCUGGCCUAAUACUGACGCUGAGGUACGAAAGCAUGGGGAGCAAACAGGAUUAGAUACCCUGGUAGUCCAUGCCGUAAACGAUGUCUACUAGCCGUUGGGGGUCUUUGAGACUUUAGUGGCGCAGCUAACGCGAUAAGUAGACCGCCUGGGGAGUACGGUCGCAAGACUAAAAACUCAAAUGAAUUGACGGGGGCCCGCACAAGCGGUGGAGCAUG